This 460-nucleotide ribosomal RNA is filed under the name uncultured bacterium. RNAcentral describes it as "bacterial SSU rRNA". It matches the Rfam family "Bacterial small subunit ribosomal RNA", at positions 327 to 804 of the family's 1533-position model. The record is from RNAcentral.
CGCCUUAUACUCCUACGGGAGGCAGCAGUGGGGAAUAUUGGACAAUGGGCGAAAGCCUGAUCCAGCAAUGCCGCGUGAGUGUUGAAGGCCUUAGGGUUGUAUAGCUCUUUUACCCGGGAUGAUAAUGACAGUACCGGGAGAAUAAGCUCCGGCUAACUCCGUGCCAGCAGCCGCGGUAAUACGGAGGGAGCUAGCGUUAUUCGGAAUUACUGGGCGUAAAGCGCACGUAGGCGGCUUUGUAAGUUAGAGGUGAAAGCCUGGAGCUCAACUCCAGAAUUGCCUUUAAGACUGCAUCGCUUGAAUCCAGGAGAGGUGAGUGGAAUUCCGAGUGUAGAGGUGAAAUUCGUAGAUAUUCGGAAGAAAACCAGUGGCGAAGGCGGCUCACUGGACUGGUAUUGACGCUGAGGUGCGAAAGCGUGGGGAGCAAACAGGAUUAGAUACCCUUGUAGUCCACGUACCA